CCUACGGGUGGCAGCAGUCGAGAAUCAUUCACAAUGGGGGAAACCCUGAUGGUGCGACGCCGCGUGGGGGAAUGAAGGCCUUCGGAUUGUAAACUCCUGUCAUGUGGGAGCAAAUUAAAAAGAUAGUACCACAAGAGGAAGAGACGGCUAACUCUGUGCCAGCAGCCGCGGUAAUACAGAGGUCUCAAGCGUUGUUCGGAAUCACUGGGCGGAAAGCGUGCGUAGGCUGUUUCGUAAGUCGUGUGUGAAAGGCGCGGGCUAAACCCGCGAAGGGCACAUGAUACUGGGAGACUAGAGUUAUGGAGAGGUGAGAGGAAUUGUCGGUGUAGCAGUGAAAUGCGUAGAUAUCGAGAGGAACACUCGUGGCGAAGGCGGGUUCCUGGACCUUAACUGACGCUGAGGCACGAAGGCGAGGGGAGCGAAAGGGAUUAGAUACCCGAGUAGUC
RNAcentral lists this ribosomal RNA (446 nucleotides) under uncultured bacterium. RNAcentral's name for it is "partial 16S ribosomal RNA". It matches the Rfam family "Bacterial small subunit ribosomal RNA", at positions 338 to 795 of the family's 1533-position model. The record is from RNAcentral.